UCGGGCCUUUUUAGUGGCAAACGGGCGAGUAACACAUAUUUAACUUGCUCAUCCGAGGAGAAUAGCAGCCCGAAAGGGCUAUUAAUACGCCAUAGCUUUAAAUUAGUGAAUUAAUUUAAAUUAAAGGAGGCUGCCGAAAGGUGGCCUCGCGGAUGAAUAGGAAUAUGUCCUAUUAGGUCGUUGGAGAGGUAAUGGCUCACCAAGCCGAUGAUGGGUAGCUGGACUGAAAGGUUGAACAGCCGCAAUGGGAUUGAGAAAUGGCCCAUAUUCCUACGGGAAGCAGCAGUGAGGAAUUUUUCACAAUGGACGAAAGUCUGAUGGAGCAAUACCACGUGAACGAUGAAGGUCUUCUGAUUGUAAAGUUCUUUUAUUUAGGAAAAAAAGCGCGGCAGGAAAUGGCCGCGCCUUGAUUGUACUAAUUGAAUAAGUGACAGCUAACUAUGUGCCAGCAGCUGCGGUAAAACAUAGGUCACGAGCAUUAUCCGGAUUUAUUGGGCGUAAAGGAAGCGUAGGCUGAAAUGUGUAUUCAUUGUUAAAAAUAUUUGCUUAACAAGUGUUCGCGGUGAAGAUUACAUUUCUAGAAUUAGUUAGAGGGUACUGGAAUUCAAUGUGUAGUGGUGGAAUACGUAGAUAUAUUGAGGAACACCAGAGGCUAAGGCGAGUGCCUGGAACAUAAUUGACGCUGAGGCUUGAAAGCGUGGGUAGCAAAUGGGAUUAGAUACCCCAGUAGUCCACGCCGUAAACGAUGGGUAUUAGUCAUUUGGAUUUAAGACUGAGUGAUGUAGCUA
This 788-nucleotide ribosomal RNA is filed under the name uncultured Mycoplasma sp. Its description in RNAcentral is "bacterial SSU rRNA". It matches the Rfam family "Bacterial small subunit ribosomal RNA", at positions 82 to 854 of the family's 1533-position model. Lineage: Bacteria; Bacillati; Mycoplasmatota; Mollicutes; Mycoplasmatales; Mycoplasmataceae. The record is from RNAcentral.